This 240-nucleotide ribosomal RNA is filed under the name Cryptosporidium meleagridis. RNAcentral describes it as "partial small subunit ribosomal RNA". It matches the Rfam family "Eukaryotic small subunit ribosomal RNA", at positions 493 to 731 of the family's 1831-position model. The record is from RNAcentral. Lineage: Eukaryota; Apicomplexa; Conoidasida; Eucoccidiorida; Cryptosporidiidae.
ACUUUUUGGUUUUGUAAUUGGAAUGAGUUAAGUAUAAACCCCUUUACAAGUAUCAAUUGGAGGGCAAGUCUGGUGCCAGCAGCCGCGGUAAUUCCAGCUCCAAUAGCGUAUAUUAAAGUUGUUGCAGUUAAAAAGCUCGUAGUUGGAUUUCUGUUAAUAAUUUAUAUAUAAUAUUUGAUUAAUAUUUAUAUAAUAUUAACAUAAUUCAUAUUACUAAAUUUAUUAGUAUAUGAAAUUUUA